RNAcentral lists this long non-coding RNA (1460 nucleotides) under Marmota monax (woodchuck). Lineage: Eukaryota; Metazoa; Chordata; Mammalia; Rodentia; Sciuridae. The record is from RNAcentral.
GAAAACUAUGUUGGAAGCUUGGAGGAAAAAAGAACUUGGAGGCCAACCUUGUCAAAGGUACAGUUGACUGCAGUAGACCCAAAGGAUGCACUCACAGCAAGGCCACCAGGAGAUGACGGGACUUCAGAUGGACAUGGUGCUUCAGGGCACAAGAUUACUCAGGGAGUUCUCUUCAGAAAACCUGGAAGAGAGUUCAGGAAACAGGCAGAUAAGGGACAAGAGUGGCCUCUGGCUUAGGUCAGGUUUAGCUUUCAUGUGAUCCUGGGACCCUGGAGGGUCCUAUAGCGCUGACUUGAAGCAAUAGGACUGAGCUGUUAAACCCAAUGCUUUUCUGGGUGGCUCCCAUAAGCCAUGCGCCAGGAAGACAUGGGGAUAUCAGAGUGUAAAAGGAAUUUGGACAGGGCAUCUCAUCAAUGGUGUCUACCACACAUGUAUCCCAGGACUUAUAGGUAGAACAUGUUCAACUUGCUCUGGUGGCUUUCUGACUGUCCAGAGUGGAGUUCUUCUUUUGAACAGAUAUUCGCUUUAUAAAAUAUUGUUCAGGUCUCCAUCUGGUUGCUUUUCUGUCUCAUAAGCAAAAAAGAAACCCUAAGAGGAGGUGUCAAGACAGGAAUGGUUCUACCUGAUGAGAGGUCUGCAUGCUUCAGCAUACCCCACUCUUGGUCUUUCCCCUCUACCUGCACUGAGAUCCCCAAAGAAUUCCUUAGGGAUUUUAGGGGUGCCAUAUCUGUGUUUUCAAAUCAGGGCUUAGAACUGCUGCAGCACUGGAGGUCUGAGCCAAUCAAAAUCUGUAAGGAGGGUGAGAGAGGUGUUGGACAGUUUCUUUUCCAGAAUGUCCCAAAUCUUGGGGCUGGAGCAAAAAGAUCUAGAAUCCCCUAAAGUGCUGUGAUUUGGUAACACAGGGCCAGCAAACUCUCCAAGUCCCAAACCCAAGGCUGAUUCCCAUAUGGCCUCCAGGGCUAUGAAAGUACUGACCAGACAUACUCCGAUAAUCCUGCACACAUGUCCACAGAGACUCUGCUGUGGAACACCCUGAGAAGCAUAGAUUGUCAGUCCCUUCAAAUUUAUCUUACUCUGCCCUUGACAAAACCCUGUCUUCUUCCCGACGCACAAGCCUGGCCUUGUGUCCAGGUUGGGCACAAACUGAGAGAGAUUAAGGUGAACCAUCUUAUUCUCUGAAGAUCAACUUUCACCUUAAUUUGUCAAAGUGUAAAUAUUAGAAGGUUCCAAUAGUCCCUUCCUGUAUAACCUCUGAAAUUGUUUUCAUACUUGUAUACUGUAGUGAUAUUCUUACUAUGAUUCAGAUGUGGUUUAUCCCCUAAGGGUUGGAGGCUUGGAUUUCUGCAUGGCUGUGUGAAUGGGAGGUCCUUAGGUCACUGGGGGCAUGCCCUAGAAGGGAUUAAGGCAGUUCUUGUGGGGCCUGGAGUUAGUUCUCACAAAAGGGAGUUUUUAUAAGAGGG